AGACCUACAAGUCGAGCAGGGACGAAAGUCGGGCAAAGUGAUCCUACGGCACCGUGUGGAAGGGCCGUGGCUUAUCGGAUAAAAGCUACCCCGGGGAUAACAGGCUUAUCUCGCCCAAGAGUUCACAUCGACGGCGAGGUUUGGCACCUCGAUGUCGGCUCGUCCCAUCCUGGGGCUGAAGGCGGUCCCAAGGGUCCGGCUGUUCGCCGGUUAAAGGGGUACGUGAGUUGGGUUCAGAACGUCGUGAGACAGUUCGGUCUCUAUCCGCCGUGGGCGCAGGAGGCUUGAGGGAACCUCUCCCUAGUACGAGAGGACCGGGAGGGACAGACCUAUGGUGUUCCAGUUGUUCCGCCAGGAGCAGCGCUGGGUAGCCAUGUCUGGCAGCGAUAAGCGCUGAAGGCAUCUAAGCGCGAAGCAUCCCCCAAGAUGAGGCCUCCCUUCCCGAUUAAUUUCGGGAGUAAGACUGCAGAGAGACUAUCUGCUUGAUAGGUCGGAUGUGUAAGGCUGGCAACAGUUUCAGCAUACCGAUACUAACCGGUCGAGAGAUUUGACCCA
RNAcentral lists this ribosomal RNA (555 nucleotides) under Chloroflexota bacterium. RNAcentral's name for it is "Chloroflexi bacterium partial 23S ribosomal RNA". It matches the Rfam family "Bacterial large subunit ribosomal RNA", at positions 2378 to 2925 of the family's 2925-position model. Lineage: Bacteria; Bacillati; Chloroflexota. The record is from RNAcentral.